RNAcentral lists this ribosomal RNA (1881 nucleotides) under Escherichia coli. RNAcentral's name for it is "partial 23S ribosomal RNA". It matches the Rfam family "Bacterial large subunit ribosomal RNA", at positions 233 to 2136 of the family's 2925-position model. Lineage: Bacteria; Pseudomonadati; Pseudomonadota; Gammaproteobacteria; Enterobacterales; Enterobacteriaceae. The record is from RNAcentral.
GAUUCCCCCAGUAGCGGCGAGCGAACGGGGAGCAGCCCAGAGCCUGAAUCAGUGUGUGUGUUAGUGGAAGCGUCUGGAAAGGCGCGCGAUACAGGGUGACAGCCCCGUACACAAAAAUGCACAUGCUGUGAGCUCGAUGAGUAGGGCGGGACACGUGGUAUCCUGUCUGAAUAUGGGGGGACCAUCCUCCAAGGCUAAAUACUCCUGACUGACCGAUAGUGAACCAGUACCGUGAGGGAAAGGCGAAAAGAACCCCGGCGAGGGGAGUGAAAAAGAACCUGAAACCGUGUACGUACAAGCAGUGGGAGCACAGAGCAAUCUGUGUGACUGCGUACCUUUUGUAUAAUGGGUCAGCGACUUAUAUUCUGUAGCAAGGUUAACCGAAUAGGGGAGCCGAAGGGAAACCGAGUCUUAACUGGGCGUUAAGUUGCAGGGUAUAGACCCGAAACCCGGUGAUCUAGCCAUGGGCAGGUUGAAGGUUGGGUAACACUAACUGGAGGACCGAACCGACUAAUGUUGAAAAAUUAGCGGAUGACUUGUGGCUGGGGGUGAAAGGCCAAUCAAACCGGGAGAUAGCUGGUUCUCCCCGAAAGCUAUUUAGGUAGCGCCUCGUGAAUUCAUCUCCGGGGGUAGAGCACUGUUUCGGCAAGGGGGUCAUCCCGACUUACCAACCCGAUGCAAACUGCGAAUACCGGAGAAUGUUAUCACGGGAGACACACGGCGGGUGCUAACGUCCGUCGUGAAGAGGGAAACAACCCAGACCGCCAGCUAAGGUCCCAAAGUCAUGGUUAAGUGGGAAACGAUGUGGGAAGGCCCAGACAGCCAGGAUGUUGGCUUAGAAGCAGCCAUCAUUUAAAGAAAGCGUAAUAGCUCACUGGUCGAGUCGGCCUGCGCGGAAGAUGUAACGGGGCUAAACCAUGCACCGAAGCUGCGGCAGCGACGCUUAUGCGUUGUUGGGUAGGGGAGCGUUCUGUAAGCCUGUGAAGGUGUACUGUGAGGUAUGCUGGAGGUAUCAGAAGUGCGAAUGCUGACAUAAGUAACGAUAAAGCGGGUGAAAAGCCCGCUCGCCGGAAGACCAAGGGUUCCUGUCCAACGUUAAUCGGGGCAGGGUGAGUCGACCCCUAAGGCGAGGCCGAAAGGCGUAGUCGAUGGGAAACAGGUUAAUAUUCCUGUACUUGGUGUUACUGCGAAGGGGGGACGGAGAAGGCUAUGUUGGCCGGGCGACGGUUGUCCCGGUUUAAGCGUGUAGGCUGGUUUUCCAGGCAAAUCCGGAAAAUCAAGGCUGAGGCGUGAUGACGAGGCACUACGGUGCUGAAGCAACAAAUGCCCUGCUUCCAGGAAAAGCCUCUAAGCAUCAGGUAACAUCAAAUCGUACCCCAAACCGACACAGGUGGUCAGGUAGAGAAUACCAAGGCGCUUGAGAGAACUCGGGUGAAGGAACUAGGCAAAAUGGUGCCGUAACUUCGGGAGAAGGCACGCUGAUAUGUAGGUGAAGUCCCUCGCGGAUGGAGCUGAAAUCAGUCGAAGAUACCAGCUGGCUGCAACUGUUUAUUAAAAACACAGCACUGUGCAAACACGAAAGUGGACGUAUACGGUGUGACGCCUGCCCGGUGCCGGAAGGUUAAUUGAUGGGGUCAGCGCAAGCGAAGCUCUUGAUCGAAGCCCCGGUAAACGGCGGCCGUAACUAUAACGGUCCUAAGGUAGCGAAAUUCCUUGUCGGGUAAGUUCCGACCUGCACGAAUGGCGUAAUGAUGGCCAGGCUGUCUCCACCCGAGACUCAGUGAAAUUGAACUCGCUGUGAAGAUGCAGUGUACCCGCGGCAAGACGGAAAGACCCCGUGAACCUUUACUAUAGCUUGACACUGAACAUUGAGCCUUGAUG